This 187-nucleotide unclassified non-coding RNA is filed under the name rhizosphere metagenome. RNAcentral's name for it is "partial ribosomal RNA internal transcribed spacer region". The record is from RNAcentral.
GUAGGUGAACCUGCGGAAGGAUCAUUGCAGAUCGAAAGGGGGUAGGUGCAGGGGGAUUAAAACCACUGCGCCAGCCGCCGACAUUUGGUCGGGAUGCGAGUCCCGGAUCAUAUUCACGCUUGUGCUGUUUGACAGAGUAGUGAUAUAUGAAUUAUGACAACUUUUAACAAUGGAUCUCUUGGCUCUU